RNAcentral lists this ribosomal RNA (206 nucleotides) under uncultured bacterium. RNAcentral describes it as "partial 16S ribosomal RNA". It matches the Rfam family "Bacterial small subunit ribosomal RNA", at positions 568 to 774 of the family's 1533-position model. The record is from RNAcentral.
UGUGUAGGCGGAGCUGUAAGUCAGAGGUGAAAUCCUGCGGCUUAACCGUAGAACUGCCUUUGAUACUGCAGCCCUUGAAUAUCGGAGAGGUCACUAGAAUUCGUGGUGUAGCGGUGAAAUGCGUAAAUAUCACGAGAAUACCAGAGGCGUAGGCGGGUGACUGGACGAUUAUUGACGCUGAGGCACGAAAGCGUGGGGAGCAAACA